GAUGAAGAACGUAGCGAAAUGCGAUAAGUAAUGUGAAUUGCAGAAUUCAGUGAAUCAUCGAAUCUUUGAACGCACAUUGCGCCCGCCAGUAUUCUGGCGGGCAUGCCUGUUCGAGCGUCAUUUCAACCAUCAAGCCCCAGGCUUGUGUUGGAGCCCUGCGGCUGCCGCAGCCUCCCAAAACCAGUGGCGGGCUCGCUAUCACACCGAGUGCAGUAGUUUACUCUUCGCUCAGGGCGUGUGGCGGGUGCUAGCCGUAAAACCCCCAACUUCUCAAUGUUGACCUCGGAUCAGGUAGGAAUACCCGCUGAACUUAAGCAUAUCAAUACGCGGAGGA
RNAcentral lists this unclassified non-coding RNA (334 nucleotides) under soil metagenome. Its description in RNAcentral is "partial contains 5.8S ribosomal RNA, internal transcribed spacer 2, and large subunit ribosomal RNA". The stretch from base 1 to 120 matches the Rfam family "5.8S ribosomal RNA", at positions 35 to 154 of the family's 154-position model. The record is from RNAcentral.